AUAAUCUGAUUUCUCUUGAGAUCAAAUAAAUCCUUCCCCUUUUAAUGAAGAUUUCCGUGGAGAGAAACAAUUCUGAG
RNAcentral lists this small nuclear RNA (77 nucleotides) under Cervus elaphus hippelaphus. The record is from RNAcentral. Lineage: Eukaryota; Metazoa; Chordata; Mammalia; Artiodactyla; Cervidae.